AGCGAACGCUGGCGGCAGGCUUAACACAUGCAAGUCGAGCGGACCUUUCGGGGUCAGCGGCGGACGGGUGAGUAACGCGUGGGAACGUGCCUUCCGGUUCGGAAUAACCCUGGGAAACUAGGGCUAAUACCGGAUACGCCCUUAUGGGGAAAGGUUUACUGCCGGAAGAUCGGCCCGCGUCUGAUUAGCUAGUUGGUGGGGUAACGGCCUACCAAGGCGACGAUCAGUAGCUGGUCUGAGAGGAUGAUCAGCCACACUGGGACUGAGACACGGCCAGACUCCUACGGGAGGCAGCAGUGGGGAAUAUUGGACAAUGGGCGCAAGCCUGAUCCAGCCAUGCCGCGUGAGUGAUGAAGGCCUUAGGGUUGUAAAGCUCUUUUAUCCGGGACGAUAAUGACGGUACCGGAGGAAUAAGCCCCGGCUAACUUCGUG
RNAcentral lists this ribosomal RNA (432 nucleotides) under uncultured bacterium. Its description in RNAcentral is "partial 16S ribosomal RNA". It matches the Rfam family "Bacterial small subunit ribosomal RNA", at positions 29 to 507 of the family's 1533-position model. The record is from RNAcentral.